GGGCUCGCUCCGGCAGUACAUAAAGCAAACUUGGAAUGAUACAGAGAAGACUAGCAUGGCCUCUAUGCAAGGAUGACACGCAGGUUCGUGAAGCAGUCUCCCAGUGA
Molecule: small nuclear RNA, 107 nt
Organism: Ailuropoda melanoleuca (giant panda)
Lineage: Eukaryota; Metazoa; Chordata; Mammalia; Carnivora; Ursidae
Source: Ensembl